GCCUUUAUGGUGUAACUCUCAACACAUUACUUUUUCAAGGUAAAAUUAGAAAAUAUUCUUAAAGACA
This 67-nucleotide transfer RNA is filed under the name Atelura formicaria. Its description in RNAcentral is "tRNA-Glu". Lineage: Eukaryota; Metazoa; Arthropoda; Insecta; Zygentoma; Nicoletiidae. The record is from RNAcentral.